Long non-coding RNA from Lolium rigidum, 1876 nucleotides. RefSeq lists it as uncharacterized. The transcript is spliced from 6 exons. The record is from RefSeq and is a predicted model, not a curated record. Lineage: Eukaryota; Viridiplantae; Streptophyta; Magnoliopsida; Poales; Poaceae.
CUAGAUCCCCGAACUGCGCCGGAGUGCGGGGCCAGCUGCGCCGCGGAUCUAGAUCCUGAGUGGUCACUUUUCCCCGUUUGGUGCUAGCCAUGGCAGCCAGGCUAGAUGCUUCGGGAGAAGGCUAAGCUCUCAGAUUAGUUGUAACAUAAGCUGCUCGCUCGUGCCGCCUCGGGAUACCUGUAAGAAGUAGCGAGUGGUGCUGGUCCGAUCGCCGGUGCUUGCGUUGCUUUUUUCAUGCUCGUGUGGCAUUAUCAGGGGGAAGGUAACGGAAACACUCCAAAGUAUACAUAUUCAGGCUAAGAAUGGCUCACGCACAUAUUCUUAGCUUUUUAUGUUGGUAUGAUCUGGUCACCAAGUGGAGCUUAUUAUGGAAAUGGGUCAGCGGUUUGAGUCGAGUGAGAUUCUGGUUGCCACUGAGCCAGAGUUGUUUGAAAUGAAUCGACAUGUUGCCGCAGGUAAGAGAUUUAGGAGCAAGACUGUGAUUGAUGGGUCUCCAGCCUAACCAGGAUGGUGGUUUUGGUUUUGCGGCGGCUGUAACUGCAAGUCAGUUCAGGAAGGACCCGUCUAUAGGCGUAGCAACGAAAAGUGUCGCUGCAAGAGUGCGAGCCCUAGGUUUUGCAUCUCUGUGGUAGUGUUUGGAGACGGGGCUUCUGUGGAGAUGGUUUUUUUCCGGUGAUGUGGGGUGGGGUUUGGUUGGCAAGCCUGUUUCCAUCUUGGUUGCCAAGAAUUGCAUCCUCUUUUCUGUUGCGACCCUGCAGAACUAGCUAUGUUGAUGGGCAGAAGCUACAUUGUUGAUGUCAGGGUGUCCCGGUAUUCGUUUCACGGUGAGGAUAAUCCCUUCCAAGCUGUUAGGUUCUGCCCUGAAGGUAGUUUUGUCUUUGUUGGCCAUGAUGCUUCGCUUAUAGUCACUGGUAAAGCGCCUAAGUGGCUGGCUGUCUCUGGUGAGAGCUCUGCUGUCGAGGAGACUGACAGUGUUGGUGCGGCCUCUCUCUUGCUAUUUCAGUUAUUUUAAGUUUAGCUUUUUCUGCAUGUGUCCCUAACUGAUCUUGAAGGAUCUGGAGAUACUGAGGCUGAGGCAGCGCUUGCUCUUUCAUCUGAUGAUGCAGGCUUGCACACAACGCUGCCUGCGCCUGCCUUUGUCUAUGCGCAUCUGUUUGAUGUCCUGUCAUUCUGCCUUACCAAGUGUAUCAGCUGAGACCUUUUUUUGUUCCAGGAAACUCCAGGCGAGAAGUCAUCGGUCGACAUCGAUCAGACUGAUGAUCUGGGCGUUGCCGAUGAUGAACUACUUUUGGAUAGCCAUUCUGAGAAAAGGGAAGGUAGCGCCAAGAGGCUGCUAUUCGAGGCAGCGAGAAAGCUGGUGUUGAGAAGGCAGGAAGGAAGGUACCGUCAUUGAAGGCUGUGCAGCAAUUUGUCGGUCUCCAAACCAGCCGGUGAGGAUGCAACAGUGUCUUAGUAGCCUGGCCUCAUGGGAACCACAGUAUUCCCGAGCAACCAUGUUGUCCAUGAUCUGCGCAUCAAUCUCAUAUGGCGGCGCUUAGCCGAUCCAUUCUCUACAGGCGAAGCCAUGAUGAGCCUUCUCCGUCUGGUAUACAGGCGUGCCGCCGCCUAUUCUUUCCAGUUCGUUCUGCGAGAGCGCGGAGAGAAAUCAGGAUGGCCUGGUGCUGGCCUGUUUGAAAAUCGAUGGGGAACAAGGAAGGUAUUCUGUAACAACGAAUAUACUACUAGCAGAGUUUGGACAGAUCGCCUCUACCGUUUGGUGGCGCGUCGAUGGCGGCAAGCUCCAUCGGUAGAGCGCUGCUUCAGCACCUUGUAUGCUCGCACUGUCUCAUUCUACUAUGAAUGUUAACAAUGAUAGAGCAUGGGUGUUCGUGAUACC